AUGAACGCUGGCGGCGUGCCUUAUACAUGCAAGUCGAGCGAACGGACGAGAACCUUGCUUCUCUGAUGUUGGCGGCGGACGGGUUAGUAACACGUGGAUACCCUACCUAUAAGACUGUGAUAACUUCGGGAAACCGUACCUAAUACCGGCUAAUAUUUUGAACCGCAUGGUUCAAAAGUGAAAGCCGUUCUUGCUGUCACUUAUAGAUGGAUCCGCGCUGCAUUAGCUAGUUGGUAAGGUAAAGGCUUACCAAGGCAACGAUGUAUAGCCGACCUGAGAGGGCGAUCGGCCACACUGGAACUGAGACACGGUCCAGACUCCUACGGGAGGCAGCAGUAGGGAAUCUUCGGCAAUGGGCGAAAGCCUGACGGAGCAACGCCGCGUGAGUGAUGAAGGUCUUCGGAUCGUAAAACUCUGUUAUUAGGGAAGAACAUAUGUGUAAGUAAAUGUGCAGAGCUUGACGGUACCUGAUCAGAAAGCAACGGCUAACUACGUG
Molecule: ribosomal RNA, 496 nt
Filed under: uncultured bacterium
Lineage: Bacteria
Description: partial 16S ribosomal RNA
Rfam family: Bacterial small subunit ribosomal RNA
Source: RNAcentral